AUGCACUGGUUUGCCUGGUGGAAGCUUUGUGUUCCAAAAGAGAUAGGAGGAAUGGGGUUCAGAGAUCCUCACUGUUUUAAUUUGGCUAUGUUAGCUAAACAAAUAUGAAGAUUAAUGGAGGCUCCAGAUAGCUUAUGCGCAAGAGUUUUGAGAAGUAAGUACUAUCCUGAUGGCAAGAUUCUUAAUGCUAAACUUAAAUCAGGCUCAUCUUUUACUUGGCAGGGUAUAUUGUCAGGGCUCAAUACAUUUAACAAGGGAGCUAUCUGGCGUGUCGGAGAUGGCCAGCAAAUUGAUAUUUGGGAGGAUGCAUGGCUACCGUGUAGUAAUAACGGAAGGAUUUUGACGCCCAAAGGUCACUGUUUGCUAAAACAUGUCCAUGAAUUGAUUGAUCCUAGUUGAGGAGUAUGGGAUGCUUGACUUAUUUUGUCCAUUUUUUGGGAUGUUGAUGCAAGACAAAUCCUAGCAAUUCCGUUGAGUCAAAAUGGAAUGGGUGAUUUUGUGGCAUGGAAAUUCAGUAAGAAUGGUUUCUUUUCAGUUCGUUCUACAUACCACAUGGAGUGGGAAUCUCAAUUUGGUGUCUCCCUGCAAAGAUCUGAUGGAACGGGAUGUUCAGGUUUGAACACGGUUUGGAGAGAUCUUUGGAAGUGCACUGUACCAGCAAAAGUGAAAUUUUGUACUUGGAAAUGUUUGCAUGGGAUUCUUCCCUAUUAUGAUGUUCUGGUUAAUCGCCACAUAAUGAACAACAGUAUGUGUCCGGUUUGUAAGAGAUAUUGUGAAGACAUAAAACAUGUUAUUUUUCGGUGUGGGGAAGCAAAAGGUAUUUGGCGGAAAAUUGGCUUGAUGCAGGUGGUUACUGAAGCAUGUGAGAUAGAUUGGUCAGGUAGUGUAGUGCUUGAUUAUCUGAUGGCUGGAAAGUUCAGGGUCCUAGUUGAUGCAUCAGUAAAGUUUUUAAGAGAAACAAUCAUAACGGCUUCUUGGUAUAUUUGGUGGAGACGAAGACAGGUAGUCCAUGCAGAAACCAUGCAAUCUUUAUCACAAGCAGCGAUGUCAAUUCAAGUAUUGGUAUCUAGUUUCGCAAAAGCACAAGGGAAAAAGAUUCAGCCAAGAUCAAGUACUUGGCAUAGGGCGUCUGAGGGCUUCAUCUCUGUAAAUGUUGAUGCUAAAUACGAUAUUAAUAUAAGGUAA
RNAcentral lists this ribosomal RNA (1185 nucleotides) under Triticum aestivum (bread wheat). RNAcentral's name for it is "partial small subunit ribosomal RNA". Lineage: Eukaryota; Viridiplantae; Streptophyta; Magnoliopsida; Poales; Poaceae. The record is from RNAcentral.